ACUCAGUGCUUGCUUCAGUAGCCAUUAAAAUUAGAAUUAUACAGAGAAAAUUGGUCUGGCCUCUACACAAGUUUAACACACAAAUUCAUGAAAUAGUCCCUAUUUUU
Molecule: small nuclear RNA, 107 nt
Filed under: Sorex araneus (European shrew)
Lineage: Eukaryota; Metazoa; Chordata; Mammalia; Eulipotyphla; Soricidae
Source: RNAcentral